Dromiciops gliroides (monito del monte) is the source of this 512-nucleotide long non-coding RNA. RefSeq lists it as uncharacterized. Lineage: Eukaryota; Metazoa; Chordata; Mammalia; Microbiotheria; Microbiotheriidae. The record is from RefSeq and is a predicted model, not a curated record. The transcript has 4 exons.
AGGAAGACUAAAAAAAUGAAAGAAAGUGAUACAGUAUCGGUUCUUUCUCUGGAGGAGGAGAUCGUGCUUCAUCAUGAGUCCUCUGGCAUUGUCUUGGAUCGUCGUAUGGCCGAGAGUAGGCUUCCUUCAAAUUGUGGUUGUGGACGUGCCAUUUCAUCCAUGAGAAACAGCAAAAAAACGUCACUUCAUUGACUUACAAGGAAACUUCCAAUCUUCUUUAAGGCUUCAGACUGGAACCAAGACCCCACUACACUCACAGCAUCAGAGCCACACAGAUGCUGCUGCUGCUGCUUCUGAACUUCCUCUUCAGGCCACAACCCAAAGCCUGCAACCCCUCCUCACUCAGCCCUGGAUCUACGACCCAGAAAUGGAGCCUGAGCAACAGACCUGGUACUUGGCAGCCAUUUCUGCACCCUUCAUAAGGAAGCGGCAAGCAGGAGGAUUUAAAAAAAAAAAACCACAAAACCCUGCAUAGACUUACGUGAACGGACGGAAAGAGAAGUGAGCAGAAG